RNA transcript from Malus domestica (apple), 858 nucleotides. It is a transcript of the gene named CBS domain-containing protein CBSCBSPB1-like, with no coding region annotated. Lineage: Eukaryota; Viridiplantae; Streptophyta; Magnoliopsida; Rosales; Rosaceae. The record is from RefSeq and is a predicted model, not a curated record.
GUUUUGCGGUUUUGAAACGGUUUCGGUUUCAAAACCGAACCGCGGCACACAAAACGGUUUGGUUUCGGUUUUGGGUUUUCAAAACCGCACCGAAACCGAAACCGCACUUUUUUAUUUUUAUUUAGUUCAUUCAACUAGGUUUAGGUUAUACUUAUACAUUUGGUUUGCGGUUCUGGGUUUGCGCCUCCUUGCAUCUCCGCAUCUGGCCUUUGCGAGCGACCUGGUCACCUGACUGCGUGCGAGCGACUGCCUGCGAGGCUGCGAGCGACUGCCUUCUGCAACUGCUUCUGCUUUUGCAGCUUGCUUCUGCUUCUGCGACUGCUUCUGCGGCUUGCUUUCAUCUCUGCCUUGCCUCCAAUCUUGGAGUCGACACACGCAGAGGGAUUUGAAGAGGGAGAAUAUAAAGGUUUUUUAUUGAAGGCGACGAUGGCUAGUCAAGGCGGUUCUUCGAAGAGAACAGAAUUGACGAACACAUCGUUGCAGGACAAGAAGAAACCCUCUGAUGCUAGUAACGGAGGCCCUUCAGAAAAUGGUGCAAGGGAAAUUCAGACAUUUGCCUGUUGUGGAGAAUGGAGAGGUCAUUGCUUUACUUGAUAUAGCAAAGUGUUUAUAUGAUGCCAUUGCUCGAAUGGAAAGAGCAGCUGAAAAGGGAAAGGCUAUUGUUGCUGCUGUGGAAGGUGUUGAAAAACAUUGGGGCACAUCUGGUUCUGGUUAGUAGAGAGUUUAGUGUUUUCUUUAGAACUUUAUGUCAGAGUCUUAAGAUAUUUUUGCAGUUUUGGUGGAAUAUCUGUGUUUUUUUUUGGUAGACUUGCGUGAUGACGAGUAGUCAGUUUUCUGAAGAAAAAAAACAAUAUUAAC